GUAGCCACCCGGCCGUUUUCUAGGAUAGCGCCCCGGUUUACCGCCCCACGGCCUGCUCACGACUCCCCGCUGUGGGUGUCUUCCGCCUCCACAAGCUACUUAAGAAUCUGGGGAACUUGCCUUAUUCAGCCAAGUCUCACCGCAGCGCAGAGUGGGCCCCCUAGAAGUAUUUGUGGAGUGAAGCAGGGCAGCGUGGAGGAUGCGUUUGACGGAGAGUGGGGGGGACACCCUAAGACCCAGGGACCUGGAGAUGGCUUGAACCUGAUGGUGAGACGCUAGGUGGGGUCAGGGACCCCCCCGAACUUCCGGCUACUGCAAAUGGGUGGCUGGUGCAGUGAGUCACUGACAUAAAGAAACUAGAAAAUAAAUAUAUAUUUUUUUUGGGGGGGGGGACACAUGAAUUUGGUUGCCCUGGAGACACACAAGCGAAGUCACGGAGGCAUCACUGAUGCCCAACUUUGAGUAUGGAGCAGGUGAAAGAGCUGCAUACCCUGCGUAUCUCACACUGGUAGAUUUUCAGUUAUUGCCCGAUAACCUGUUGAUUGGACAGCUCUAACCUAUGAUCUGUUUCCAUCAAUAUUCUUGCACAAUGAUGAUAUUUUAUGCGGUUGAAUCCCUCUAGGGAGGCAGUGUUAGUUACUGUCCUUAAAAUGUCAUUAUUUACUCUUUCCCAUCUUUUCUGUUUUUUUUUUUUUUCCAUCCACUGUCCUCGAUCCACGUUGAUGCACCAGAAGUGUUUUCACAUGGCCAAAAAUGAAAAUGAGAGAAAUAAGUGACCGCAAAGCAGAGGUGGAGAUUUGUUCCAGAAUUCAUUGCUAAUUAUGGACCUUUGUAUCAAGGGUCAGAUCACUCCUCAGAUUCUGUAUUAGUUAGUAUCUUUCCUCUGAGUUUCCGUAUUUCCCGCCUUUACUUUGGGUAGGUUUGGUUUCUCAUUUAGCUCCCCAGGUUUUUCUGGCUCAGACUGGGAGUCAGGAAAGUUGCCUAUGAGCAUAGCAUGGUUGCAUCUUUGAUGGGACUGCAGAGGAAAGGGGAAUCCUGUAUCUCAAGUAAGCACUGGCAUCUUUUAGCCAAAAGGAAAGGGAAAUCUUUGUUACCUUGCCACUGGUAAUCAGCAGAGUCAGGAGGCAAUUCAUUCCCAUGAAGUGUUGGGGGUGUUCUGAAAACCAUCAUAAGAGAGCAGCAUACCUAAUGAAAAUCCUCAUUUUAUGGGCAAAAUGCACAUCUUUGUUUUUAUGAAGCAGUAUUAUGCAGUGAUAGCAUAUCACUUCAAAGGCUGCUACCCUACCACUAGAGGGAGCAAAAAUCCUCCGCAUGUAAAUGUGUUGGAUUCCUUUCACAAAUGGAAACCUUCUAGUUUCCUGCAUAUUGCAUAGUUAAUGAUUCCCUUCUCCGAGAUUAUCUGUCAUUUCUAGAAAUGCCCAUUGGUUUCCUCACGCAUGGCCUAGCGUCUAGGAGGGCACUGUCUUCCAAGUACCCCUCCUGCCUUGCUCCCUUAGCUAGUGGGGUGCUCCCACCCAACCUCCUACCACGGGACCAUUGCUCACCUUCCUCCUGCAUGCCAAAUCUUCUGUCAGAACUCUUACUGACAGCGCUCUAGCUGAGAAAGCUAUUUUGGUUCCACCAAAAAAGUGGCUGUCAUCUGGAAGGCACAGAGAUUUUCAUUUUCAAGAAGCUCAGAAGGUAGCAGGACAAGGUUUCUAGCAAAAAACAUUCUCUUAGGGAGAUUUUCUCAGCUCUUAUUUUAUUCACAUAAUUGACACAGUACAAAUAAGUUUAGAACAGGUUUUUAAAAAGAUAGGUAAUGCAGAGCAGAAUUUCAAGUUGUUACUUAUAAAUGGCAAUAGUUAGAAAGUAUGCCUAAAAUAACAUGGUUUUGUUUAGUAUUCUUCAGAGAGUUUUUGAAUGUGAGAGUUGAAUCAGAUUAGCUUACCCCUGGGUUUGACUCAAAAUCCCCAGGUGUCUGUGUAAACACAUUGAUUUCUGAACACAAAUCACUCUCCCCCCAACUCUAAGCUGUGUUUAAUUGUAAUCACUCCUUUUCUCUUCCUUUCAUUAGCUUGGGAUGGGGGAAAUGAUGUGAAAACAUGGUAUUCCAGGAUUUAUAACUUCAUCAGUUACAUGGGUAAAAUGUGAAAGAAUGAUUUUUUUUUUUUAGAAUUUCAAUUUAGGUUCUAAUUUUUUAGAACCACUUGUAUCAUUUUUAUAAUGAAGUAAACAAUUUUAAUGGAAACAUGGAAAUUCCCAGUGAAAUUAAAAGGAAAUAGUUUCCACUAUUCACUUUAAUAAUAUAUCAUGGCAAUGUACCUCAAUAUCUCUUUGUGUAUAAUUUUGAAUCUUAAAAUUGUGUUAACCAACCUAUUCUUUGAUUUCCUGUGGAAACAAAGACAGUGCUUUAAAGACAUUUUGCAGACUAAUAAACAAAAUGCCCUUGGUGUCUAAUAGAGCUGGAUGUGGAUUUUUUUUUUUUUUAGUUUAUUCAUUUAUUUGAGAGUGAGAGAGUAGGGGGAAAGGGCAGAGGGAGAGAGCGAGAAUCCCAAGCAGAUUCCCUUCUGAGCAUGGUGCCCAACAUAGGACUCAAUCUCAUGACCCUGAGAUCAUGACCUGAGCCAAAAUCAAGAGUCAGAUGCUGAAACGACUGAGCCACCAGGUGCCCCAGGAUGUGGUGUUUCUUAACACAGUUGUGAGUUUAGUCCCUCUGUGGGACCAUUGAUAGGACCAAGUUUCUAUCUGUUCUAUGGCUGUAGUGCCUAGCCUGCUGUCUUAAAUUUUGUGCUAUGUGGUAGGGAGGAAAGGUAACUAGGUCAGCAUACAUUCUCUUUUUUAAAAAAGUCCACUCAGAAUGAUAUAUAAAUGACAAAAAUUGGCAGCAUCAUUUUCAUGUCAGAAGAACAUUGACACUUAGAGGAAGUUCUGUUUUUGAAAAAGCAUCCUGAAGACAUAAAAUUCCUUCUUAGAAAAACCACAUUUUAAGAUCCAGUGAAGUGUCAUUAGGGGAAGAAGAAGAAAGACUGGGAAUAUGUGCAUGCUAGACAAUUGGGAGAAUAAGAUUCAUUUCCUUUUAUUUUACCAUUAAAUCUUGAUUCUGAUAAAAUACUGAUGUGGAGGGAACAAUUGCUUUCUCUAGAAGAUUGCUUUGAGGCAAAGAAAUCUAUAACUUUUUCUUCCUUUCCAAGGCAAGGAAAUAGAACACCCUGUCCAAUGUCUUUGUAGAGAUAAAGUGCAAUCUGGGGAAGAUGAGGCUAGUGCAUUGCUGCUAUUAGGCUUGCCUGGCCCAUAAACUGUAAUCUCUCCACGUCUUUCCUUCUUUCUGGUCUCAAGGGCUUUUUCUUUUCUAGAAAUCUGACUAAUCCUGGAAGCAAAGAGGAAUUAUGUGUAAGAAAGAAGCUCCCCCUCUACAUAUCCCCAUGACUCACCAUUUACUUGAAAGAAGAUACUCCUGAGUCACAAGUAAUGAGAAGUAGAAUAUGUUAAGCUCUAUGUCCCUGUAAGCUAUGUUGUUUCACAUGUGGUCAGAUUCCUGCUAUGCACUAAAAAGCUCUCUCUUUUAUGUUUUAGCAUUGGGUAUUUACCCUUCAAAGUUAUGGAGCUUUUGUACCCCCCCCCACACACACACACACGCAUGCACACACACACUUCUAAGUAGCAUCUUAUUUACAGAUCAGGUGCAUAUACUGGUCAAUAGCUUUCAAGUUUCAAAACAGAUGACUUUUUUGUAUGUCAAAUGAUUCUCUUGAUUUUAAAUCUAAAGAUUUAAGGACUAGAAGCAUGACAUCAAAAAACAACUCCACCAAGACACAUGAGCUUUGAUGACACUUUUCCCUCAGUGAAUGAAAUCCUACUUGCUAAUUGAAGAGAAGAUGUAGCUGACUCUACCAGGAUGGCACAGAAGAGGACAGAAAGGCUUAUCUUACACGUGCUGCCAGAGAUAUAAGGUGUCACUUAUUUCAAAGUGAUAAUAUCCCUUUGCAUUGGUUCUGUUGUGCAAUGGAUCACAUGAACUGUGCUUCUUGCUGUGUAAGUUAAUAGUUGUCAUCCAUGGAUGGAGUUGAAAAAUAAAAACUUCACUUUAGCAUGAGCCUGUGCUACCUCUGUAGACAGCUGGGGGCAGCUGUGUCAAGACCUGCAGUGUCAUCAUGGCUGCCUAAGGUCCUGGUCAGCCUCUUGGCCCUGGCCUCUUUCUCCUACAUGCCCUGUUGAAGGCCUGGCGUAAGAUGGAAAUUCUGGCCCAACUCUGGUUGGCUUGAACUUGAUGCAAGGUCAGUUCAGAGGACAAAAGACAAGGACCUUUCAGCUUGAAGCCAAAGGUGUUACUACUUAGAAUGUAGGGCACACAACACAAGGCUGGCAGAUGGGGGGGAUGACGUUAGGGAGCAUGAAUCUGUGUGGAGACACUUUGGAUCACACCAGACUGAAGGAGGAUACACAGGGACCUGAUCCUAGGACCUAGGGCUGAACGUCCUGUCCCAAGAGUACUUGAUGGAAAGUCUGGGUACAGAGCUCCAGCUGCACUGCAGUGUCUUUGGACCUAGAGGAUCUAGGUCGCCAGGAGCCCUACUCCCUAUCCACUCACUCCAGGAUCUGGCCAGAUGGAGCAGCCCCACCAUCUUGAAAAUUGAUGGUCACACAGCAGAAAAAGGAACACAGUAAACCAGGUCCUGGUUCUUAAAACAUCUGCCUAGACAAGUCACCUGCCCCUUCUACCUGUAUUUUAUUGUCCUUAUCAAAUUAUAUGGUCACCCCUGAUUUCAACAUAGAUGGAAUGUACCCCCUGCAGGAGGGGCAGUGUGGGAAAAGAAAAUGAAUAUCUGGUGGACGGUUUUACGAGGUACUGCUGGAGGCUAUUAUUGUAGUCCAAACAAGACGAGAUGGGACGUUUGAUCGAAGUGAUGCUAGUCAAGACCGGGACAAAUGGGCAGAUUUGAGGUUAUUUUUGGAGUUCUUUUCUGGAUAUGGAAAUGGCUUGACUCCGAUGGAGGUUUGUUGUUGUUGUUGUUGUUGUUGUUGUUGUUUGGUCACUCUCAUUAGACUGUGAACCUCAUGAGGCAAGCCAUGAUAUUCAUCUCCAUUUAUCCAAGGCCAAGCAUAAAAUUGUUUACCGAAUGAAGGAAUGGGAUUCACAGAUCAAAAACCUGCCUCCUGGAUAUACUAUGGCGUGGAAUUUCCCACAGUUGGGGUGAAUCUGUUCUGUAGAGGGAGGGAGAAGAUUUAAAAAAAAAAAUGUUUUACACAUAAGAGAAAGCCUCACUCAUUGGAUUUUCUGCAGGAUUGUGAGGGACAUCGAUUUAGGAAAUGGUCCGGGCCACAGCACUGCUCCUUCCUGGGGGGAGAGCCUGACUGGGCCCGUCCUGUUCCAUUGCCUCCUGGGACUGACAUUUCUUCCAUUUCUUCCAUCUCCGUCAGCUUCCGAUCGCUUUGCACCCCGGGAGGGGGCGGAGGAGUGGCCAUCUGCGGCGAUGCCUCUGGAGAAAACAGAGUUUAGAUACAGCCCAUAAAUCCAGCCCAGUGAAUGACUCCCUUAAACAAAGACAAUGGCUGGUGGAGCGGGGGUGGGGGGUGGGGGGAACCCGCCGAAAAGAAAUCUUGAAAAAUUGCCGCGAGGAGGUCUGCCCUCCAGGUUGCUGCCCUCCCUGCUCCCCUACCCCCCCCCCCGACGCUGCUUGGCCCCGCGGGCCGCUGGUUGCACAAGUGACCUGCUGGGUUUCCAAGAGACCUCCCCACCUCCCCCCCUUCCCCCGACCGCCCCCCCCAGCCUGCUGCGCCUUCGGGAGGCGGUGCUGGGCGCCCCAGCCUCCGCCCCCGGCUGUGGUCCUGGGGGGGGGCAGCCUGCGUUGCGCUAGCACAUUCCUUCCCCUCUCGGUGUGGUGGCCCUCUGUCACCCCGCGGGGACCAGCGCCUUCUCUAACACCUGCUCCGGAGCCCCCCCCCCCGGGGUUCAUGGCUGGUCCUUGCUGCAUCCUGGUCCUCUUGGUUCAACAUCAGGGAUGGGGGUGAGGGGGGGAGGGAUGGUGUUAGCCAAGGUCACUGCGUCCCGGCCCCCGGGGCAGGAAAGGGUGUGCGGCUCGCGCCCCGGGGGCGGAGGGGUGGGGGGGGCGGUGGAGGAGCCCCAUCCCUGUCCGGGAGACCACAGGCCGGGAACGUGCUCCUGGCACAGACGUGGGCUCAGCUCCGGGCGCAGGCCUGGCCCGAGGCUUCAGUCCCGGGGCUUCCAGGAGCCGGCUCCCUGCGGGG
Long non-coding RNA from Nyctereutes procyonoides (raccoon dog), 6228 nucleotides. RefSeq lists it as uncharacterized. The transcript is spliced from 8 exons. Lineage: Eukaryota; Metazoa; Chordata; Mammalia; Carnivora; Canidae. The record is from RefSeq and is a predicted model, not a curated record.